GGGUAACAGGGAGUGCUUGCACUCUGCUGACGACCGGCGCACGGGUGCGUAACGCGUAUACAAUCUGCCUUAUACUGGGGUAUAGCCUUUAGAAAUGAAGAUUAAUCCCCCAUAGUCUCUUAUUAUGGCAUCAUAAAAAGAGUAAAGGUUACGGUAUAAGAUGAGUAUGCGUUCUAUUAGUUUGUUGGUGAGGUAACGGCUCACCAAGACUACGAUAGAUAGGGGCCCUGAGAGGGGGAUCCCCCACACUGGUACUGAGACACGGACCAGACUCCUACGGGAGGCAGCAGUGAGGAAUAUUGGACAAUGGAGGCAACUCUGAUCCAGCCAUGCCGCGUGCAGGAAGACUGCCCUAUGGGUUGUAAACUGCUUUUAUAUAGGAAGAAACCUUGGUACGUGUACCAAGCUGACGGUACUAUAAGAAUAAGGAUCGGCUAAC
This 439-nucleotide ribosomal RNA is filed under the name uncultured bacterium. Its description in RNAcentral is "bacterial SSU rRNA". It matches the Rfam family "Bacterial small subunit ribosomal RNA", at positions 67 to 501 of the family's 1533-position model. The record is from RNAcentral.